GGCUGUAGCUCAGUGGUUGAGCGCUUGCCUUGCAUGUGUGAGGCACUGGGGUCGAUCCUCAGCAUCA
Molecule: transfer RNA, 67 nt
Filed under: Marmota monax (woodchuck)
Lineage: Eukaryota; Metazoa; Chordata; Mammalia; Rodentia; Sciuridae
Description: tRNA.Ala
Source: RNAcentral